CCUACGGGAGGCAGCAGUGGGGAAUAUUGCACAAUGGGGGAAACCCUGAUGCAGCGACGCCGCGUGAGUGAAGAAGUAUUUCGGUAUGUAAAGCUCUAUCAGCAGGGAAGAAAAUUACGGUACCUGACUAAGACGCCCCGGCUAACUACGUGCCAGCAGCCGCGGUAAUACGUAGGGGGCAAGCGUUAUCCGGAUUGACUGGGUGUAAAGUGAGCGUAGUUGGCAUGGUGAGCCAGAAGUGAAAACACGAGGCUCAACACCGCGGAUUGCUUUUGGAACUAUCAGGCUGGAGUGCUGGAGGGGUAAGCGGAAUUCCUAGUGUAGCGGUGAAAUGCGUAGAUAUUAGGAGGAACACCGGUGGCGAAGGCGGCUUACUGGACAGAAACUGACACUGAGGCUCGAAAGCGUGGGGAGCAAACAGGAUUAGAUACCCGGGUAGUC
RNAcentral lists this ribosomal RNA (441 nucleotides) under uncultured bacterium. RNAcentral's name for it is "partial 16S ribosomal RNA". It matches the Rfam family "Bacterial small subunit ribosomal RNA", at positions 338 to 795 of the family's 1533-position model. The record is from RNAcentral.